CCAUCGGGGUACACGAGCGGCGAACGGGUGAGUAACACGUGGGUGAUCUGCCUUGCACUUCGGGAUAAGCCUGGGAAACUGGGUCUAAUACCGGAUAUGACCUCGAAUUGCAUGGUCUGGGGUGGAAAGAUUUAUCGGUGCGAGAUGGGCCCGCGGCCUAUCAGCUUGUUGGUGAGGUAACGGCUCACCAAGGCGACGACGGGUAGCCGACCUGAGAGGGUGACCGGCCACACUGGGACUGAGACACGGCCCAGACUCCUACGGGAGGCAGCAGUGGGGAAUAUUGCACAAUGGGCGCAAGCCUGAUGCAGCGACGCCGCGUGCGGGAUGACGGCCUUCGGGUUGUAAACCGCUUUUGACAGGGACGAAGCGCAAGUGACUGUACCUGUAGAAUAAGGACCGGCCAACUACGUGCCAGCAGCCGCGGUAAUACGUAGGGUCCGAGCGUUGUCCGGAAUUACUGGGCGUAAAGAGCUUGUAGGCGGUUCGUCGCGUCGUUUGUGAAAACUUGGGGCUCAACCUUAAGCUUGCAGGCGAUACGGGCGGACUAGAGUACUUCAGGGGAGACUGGAAUUCCUGGUGUAGCGGUGAAAUGCGCAGAUAUCAGGAGGAACACCGGUGGCGAAGGCGGGUCUCUGGGAAGUAACUGACGCUGAGAAGCGAAAGCAUGGGUAGCAAACAGGAUUAGAUACCCUGGUAGUCCAUGCCGUAAACGGUGGGUACUAGGUGUGGGGCUCCUUCCACGGACUCCGUGCCGUAGCUAACGCAUUAAGUACCCCGCCUGGGGAGUACGGCCGCAAGGCUAAAACUCAAAGAAAUUGACGGGGGCCCGCACAAGCGGCGGAGCAUGUGGAUUAAUUCGAUGCAACGCGAAGAACCUUACCUGGGUUUGACAUACACCGGAAACCUGCAGAGAUGUAGGCCCCCUUGUGGUCGGUGUACAGGUGGUGCAUGGCUGUCGUCAGCUCGUGUCGUGAGAUGUUGGGUUAAGUCCCGCAACGAGCGCAACCCUUAUCUUAUGUUGCCAGCGCGUAAUGGCGGGGACUCGUGAGAGACUGCCGGGGUCAACUCGGAGGAAGGUGGGGACGACGUCAAGUCAUCAUGCCCCUUAUGUCCAGGGCUUCACACAUGCUACAAUGGCCGGUACAGAGGGCUGCGAUACCGCGAGGUGGAGCGAAUCCCUUAAAGCCGGUCUCAGUUCGGAUCGGGGUCUGCAACUCGACCCCG
This 1227-nucleotide ribosomal RNA is filed under the name Nocardia sp. ET2s3. RNAcentral's name for it is "bacterial SSU rRNA". It matches the Rfam family "Bacterial small subunit ribosomal RNA", at positions 77 to 1320 of the family's 1533-position model. The record is from RNAcentral. Lineage: Bacteria; Bacillati; Actinomycetota; Actinomycetes; Mycobacteriales; Nocardiaceae.